UACGAAGGGGGCUAGCGUUGUUCGGAAUUACUGGGCGUAAAGCGCGUGUAGGCGGGUCUUUAAGUCAGGGGUGAAAUGCCAGGGCUCAACCUUGGAACUGCCUUUGAUACUGGAGACCUUGAGUCCGGGAGAGGUGAGUGGAAUUGCGAGUGUAGAGGUGAAAUUCGUAGAUAUUCGCAAGAACACCAGUGGCGAAGGCGGCUCACUGGCCCGGAACUGACGCUGAUGCGCGAAAGCUAGGGGAGCAAACAGG
Molecule: ribosomal RNA, 253 nt
Filed under: uncultured bacterium
Lineage: Bacteria
Description: partial 16S ribosomal RNA
Rfam family: Bacterial small subunit ribosomal RNA
Source: RNAcentral